GGUCCAAUUGCGGAGUGGCCCGCGCCUGCGUACGUUAAUUUCGUAGUGAGCACUGGUUGCAUGCAGGAGGACGCCCGUUCGACUCGGGCUUGGACCG
Non-coding RNA from Mycena latifolia, 97 nucleotides. The record is from the annotation of a GenBank genome assembly. NCBI's taxonomy places the organism in Eukaryota, Fungi, Basidiomycota, Agaricomycetes, Agaricales, Mycenaceae.